CAAUCGGCCCUUUUCAGAGCCAACAAAUUUGUUUUAAAGAGUUAUUU
Aedes aegypti (yellow fever mosquito) is the source of this 47-nucleotide non-coding RNA. The record is from Rfam. Lineage: Eukaryota; Metazoa; Arthropoda; Insecta; Diptera; Culicidae.